Molecule: unclassified non-coding RNA, 407 nt
Filed under: Hevea brasiliensis (rubber tree)
Lineage: Eukaryota; Viridiplantae; Streptophyta; Magnoliopsida; Malpighiales; Euphorbiaceae
Source: RNAcentral
AUUAUUUUUUUUUUUUUUUUUUGAGAAGGCCUUCAUCUUUUGUGUCUCAACCUGUCCAUGUCCAUCUGUAUUUAUGUCAUUUCAUCCUUCCCUCCAUUGAUCUGUGCAUCUUUUGGCUAAUUAUAACUUCAACAAUUGCUCAUAAAAAUUCUUCUCUGCAGCUUUGUCUGCCUGUCCUCAUGUGCUGUCAAAUAAAGGCAUUGUGACGCAUUUUUACAUUGAUGAAUGUAUGCCAUUUCGAAUUAUUGUUCGUGUUGAAUCUGCAAAAGUAUACAACUUGUUAAGAUGAUACAUAUGCAUGUGAGCAUGUGCAUGCAGAAUCAUGAUUUCUGGAUUAUGGUUAAACAAUUUGGAACUUUCAAUUUGAAGUUCCUUUUAUUCUCACUGUACAUCUGGUACUGCAGGUA